AGGACUAUAGCUCAUAUUGGUUAGAGCACCACGUUGACAUCGUGGUGGUAAGUGGUUCGAAUCCGCUUAGUCCUA
This is a non-coding RNA of Gossypium arboreum, 75 nucleotides long. NCBI's taxonomy places the organism in Eukaryota, Viridiplantae, Streptophyta, Magnoliopsida, Malvales, Malvaceae. The record is from Rfam.